Unclassified non-coding RNA from Chrysemys picta bellii (western painted turtle), 150 nucleotides. Lineage: Eukaryota; Metazoa; Chordata; Testudines; Emydidae. The record is from Ensembl.
UUUACAGCCACGGCAAAUGAUGUUCUCUAUCCACAGGACAGGUACAGCACAGGCAGUAGCACUGCAAGCUUCCUCACAGCCUAUGCUACCAGUGUGCCUCAACCCAGACUUAGUAGUUCAGUCUCCAUGCUCACUGAGUCUGUGAUCUCU